UACGAGGGGGGCGAGCGUUGUUCGGAAUUAUUGGGCGUAAAGGGUGCGCAGGCGGACUGGUAAGUCAGUGGUGAAAUCUCGUCGCUUAACGACGAAACUGCCUUUGAUACUAUCAGUCUUGAAUCCGGUAGAGAUCUGUGGAAUUCCGAGUGUAGCAGUGAAAUGUGUAGAUAUUCGGAAGAACACCAGUGGCGAAGGCAGCAGAUUGGGCCGGUAUUGACGCUCAGGCACGAAAGCAUGGGGAUCAAACAGG
This 253-nucleotide ribosomal RNA is filed under the name uncultured bacterium. RNAcentral describes it as "partial 16S ribosomal RNA". It matches the Rfam family "Bacterial small subunit ribosomal RNA", at positions 524 to 776 of the family's 1533-position model. The record is from RNAcentral.